This 497-nucleotide ribosomal RNA is filed under the name uncultured bacterium. RNAcentral's name for it is "partial 16S ribosomal RNA". It matches the Rfam family "Bacterial small subunit ribosomal RNA", at positions 28 to 507 of the family's 1533-position model. The record is from RNAcentral.
GAUGAACGCUGGCGGCGUGCCUAAUACAUGCAAGUCGAGCGAACGGACGAGAAGCUUGCUUUUCUGAUGUUAGCGGCGGACGGGUGAGUAACACGUGGAUAACCUACCUAUAAGACUGGGAUAACUUCGGGAAACCGGAGCUAAUACCGGAUAAUAUUUUGAACCGCAUGGUUCAAAAGUGAAAGACGGUCUUGCUGUCACUUAUAGAUGGAUCCGCGCUGCAUUAGCUAGUUGGUAAGGUAACGGCUUACCAAGGCAACGAUGCAUAGCCGACCUGAGAGGGUGAUCGGCCACAAUGGAACUGAGACACGGUCCAGACUCCUACGGGAGGCAGCAGUAGGGAAUCUUCCGCAAUGGGCGAAAGCCUGACGGAGCAACGCCGCGUGAGUGAUGAAGGUCUUCGGAUCGUAAAACUCUGUUAUUAGGGAAGAACAUAUGUGUAAGUAACUGUGCACAUCUUGACGGUACCUAAUCAGAAAGCCACGGCUAACUACGUG